UGUUGCAUUACUUGAUCUUGUGUCUGUAAGAGUAUUGCACUUGUCCCGGCCUGUGGAGGAAAAGAGGACUUAUCGUCAGUUCCUGUCAGGAUCGAAAAGGGGCCGAGCUGGCUGGUUUGCUGUUGUCGGGUGGAUCACGAUGCAAUUUUG
This 150-nucleotide microRNA precursor is filed under the name Sarcophilus harrisii (Tasmanian devil). RNAcentral's name for it is "microRNA sha-mir-92a precursor". Its record names the gene sha-mir-92a. The record is from miRBase by way of RNAcentral. Lineage: Eukaryota; Metazoa; Chordata; Mammalia; Dasyuromorphia; Dasyuridae.